RNAcentral lists this transfer RNA (90 nucleotides) under Candidatus Kaiserbacteria bacterium RIFCSPHIGHO2_12_FULL_56_13. Its description in RNAcentral is "tRNA-Ser". It matches the Rfam family "tRNA". Rfam says of the family: Transfer RNA (tRNA) molecules are approximately 80 nucleotides in length. Their secondary structure includes four short double-helical elements and three loops (D, anti-codon, and T loops). Further hydrogen bonds mediate the characteristic L-shaped molecular structure. tRNAs have two regions of fundamental functional importance: the anti-codon, which is responsible for specific mRNA codon recognition, and the 3' end, to which the tRNAs corresponding amino acid is attached (by aminoacyl-tRNA synthetases). tRNAs cope with the degeneracy of the genetic code in two manners: having more than one tRNA (with a specific anti-codon) for a particular amino acid; and 'wobble' base-pairing, i.e. permitting non-standard base-pairing at the 3rd anti-codon position. The record is from RNAcentral. RNAcentral also lists the same sequence under 1 other name. Lineage: Bacteria; Candidatus Kaiseribacteriota.
GGAGAGGUGGCAGAGCGGUUGAACGCGCUGGUUUCGAAAACCAGUAGGCUCGAAAGGGUCUCGGGAGUUCGAAUCUCCCCCUCUCCGCAA